AUGGUGGCUGGUGAUCUUAAUGAUAUAAUGUCCUCCUUUGAAAAAGAAGGGGGUAAUCCCCGACCAGCUCAGUACAUGGCGGCAUUCAGGGACGCCCUAGAUGAGUGCAAUCUAUUGGACCUAGGCUACUUUGGAGACAAGUUUACCUGGCAUAGAGGAAUGAUAAGAGAGAGGCUCGACCGAGCGGUUUCAAAUGAUGCAUGGAAUUCCAUGUUUCCUGCAGCGAGGGUUGAGCAUCUGGACUACCACAAGUUUGAUCAUCGACCACUCCUG
RNAcentral lists this ribosomal RNA (273 nucleotides) under Triticum aestivum (bread wheat). RNAcentral describes it as "partial small subunit ribosomal RNA". Lineage: Eukaryota; Viridiplantae; Streptophyta; Magnoliopsida; Poales; Poaceae. The record is from RNAcentral.